UUAGCCAGCUAGACAGUCGCUGUGAAUGAAAAUUCAUGGAGGAAAGUCCGGGCUCCAUAGGACAAAGCGCCAGAUAACGUCUGGGAGAUGAAAGUCUACGGAAAGUGCCACAGAAAAUAUACCGCCGAUUUUUUCGGUAAGGGUGAAAUGGUGCGGUAAGAGCGCACCGCGUUGUUGGCAACAACAAUGGCAGGGUAAACCCCGCUUGGAGCAAGACCAAAUAGGAGUUCUGUUCAAUCUUUUUGAUUGGAUAAAGCGCGGUCCGCGUUGAACUCGGGUAAGGUCGCUUGAACCCUCGAGUGAUCGAGGGUCCAGAUGAAUGACUGUCCACGACAGAACCCGGCUUAUCGGCUGGCUAAUCAU
This 363-nucleotide RNase P RNA is filed under the name Gammaproteobacteria bacterium GWE2_42_36. Its description in RNAcentral is "RNase P RNA component class A". It matches the Rfam family "Bacterial RNase P class A". Rfam says of the family: Ribonuclease P (RNase P) is a ubiquitous endoribonuclease, found in archaea, bacteria and eukarya as well as chloroplasts and mitochondria. Its best characterised activity is the generation of mature 5'-ends of tRNAs by cleaving the 5'-leader elements of precursor-tRNAs. The record is from RNAcentral. RNAcentral also lists the same sequence under 1 other name. Lineage: Bacteria; Pseudomonadati; Pseudomonadota; Gammaproteobacteria.